UAGAAUAUUCAUUAUUUUCAGCCUCUAAAA
This 30-nucleotide non-coding RNA is filed under the name Rattus norvegicus (Norway rat). Lineage: Eukaryota; Metazoa; Chordata; Mammalia; Rodentia; Muridae. The record is from RNAcentral.